Molecule: non-coding RNA, 162 nt
Filed under: Caulobacterales bacterium
Lineage: Bacteria; Pseudomonadati; Pseudomonadota; Alphaproteobacteria; Caulobacterales
Description: 6S RNA
Rfam family: 6S / SsrS RNA
About the family: E. coli 6S RNA was the first non coding RNA to be sequenced, but its function was unknown until recently. It consists of 184 nucleotides that fold into an extended hairpin structure with a large single-stranded internal bulge.
Source: RNAcentral
GGUCUGCUGCGGCUCUCGUCGGAGACGACCAUAUCCCUCCGGCCUUAAUUCACUCGAAGGGAGCUGUCCCUGUCCGUGGCCGUGGCUGCGGGUAUACGGCGCCCACCUGGUUAGCCAGGCUCGAGGGGAUUGAAAUGAUCUUCACGGCUCUCGCGGCGCCGC